This is a non-coding RNA of Vicia faba (fava bean), 183 nucleotides long. The record is from the annotation of a GenBank genome assembly. Lineage: Eukaryota; Viridiplantae; Streptophyta; Magnoliopsida; Fabales; Fabaceae.
AUGAUGUGUGAUUGUCCUUUAGUUAUGUUAUUAUGGUUAAAUAUUGUUCAUAGCAAUACUAGAAGAUGGGUUUUAUCUUAUAAUAUGCAGCAGUGGAUAACAAUGAAUUUAUGCAUAGAGGUGAGGUGGAACAAGAAAGAAGAUUGGAGUAAUUAUUGGGUUAUGUCUUGUGACUAUAUUUGA